CCUAAUAUGAAAGUCUCCUCGUGUUUCUGUGGUAAAAAUUAUCUCCAUCAGAGUAUCGGAUAGUGUAUAUAAGUUAGCAAUGUCAGUGUUUGUAUGAAAUCUUUGUCAACCAUGCGCAAAUGCAAACAAUGGGAGAUGGUCAUUUUUGAAUAAAAGAGACUAACUUCACGGCUAUUUAUUAGGAAAAUGUUUAUGCACAAAACUGAUGAGAAAACAAAAUCCUUAUUUUAGUGGCUUACGCCAAACAGAAUAGAUAUAAAAGCAACAAAUGGAUAGCCGUUGGCGUAAAUGCAAAUGGUACAACAUGCUGCUUGAUCGUGUCAAUCAAACAUGUUAAUUAGC
RNAcentral lists this unclassified non-coding RNA (342 nucleotides) under Hevea brasiliensis (rubber tree). The record is from RNAcentral. Lineage: Eukaryota; Viridiplantae; Streptophyta; Magnoliopsida; Malpighiales; Euphorbiaceae.